UACGUAGGGGGCUAGCGUUGUCCGGAAUCAUUGGGCGUAAAGCGCGUGUAGGCGGUCCGGCAAGUCCGCUGUGAAAGUCGGGGGCUCAACCCUCGGAUGCCGGUGGAUACUGUCGGGCUUGAGUACGGAAGAGGCGAGUGGAAUUCCUGGUGUAGCGGUGAAAUGCGCAGAUAUCAGGAGGAACACCAAUGGCGAAGGCAGCUCGCUGGGACGUGACUGACGCUGAGACGCGAAAGCGUGGGGAGCGAACAGG
RNAcentral lists this ribosomal RNA (253 nucleotides) under uncultured bacterium. RNAcentral's name for it is "partial 16S ribosomal RNA". It matches the Rfam family "Bacterial small subunit ribosomal RNA", at positions 524 to 776 of the family's 1533-position model. The record is from RNAcentral.